AUAAUAAAUUAAUGAAACAGAGUAUAGCCCACAUGUCUUCAAUUUCAACAUGAAACCAACCUUUCCAGAGCUUUCUCAUCGCAUCCUCACCAGAAAUUUCCUUGGAAACAAGAAAAGAAUUUGAUUCAUUAUUCUCACCACAACUUUAAUUCCACUAAGGAAAAACAUUCCUAUAUUUAUAGAGAGAGAGAGAAAGAGGCGAGUUGUAAAUCCCUGGUAGGAAAUCCUGAUAGAUCAUAGAAAUGAAUGAACCACCAAAAUAUGCUUACCCCUAUCCUGCUCAAGGAUACUAUCAGGGACCGCCGGUGGUGGCGCCGCCGCAGUACGCGGCGCCGCCGCCGAAGAGGGAGCCCGGAUUCCUGGAAGGCUGCCUUGCGGCCUUGUGCUGCUGUUGUUUGAUGGAUGAAUGCUGCGACCUGCUCUGCUUCUUCUAGUCUACGCCUCCACUCAUUUACUUUUAAUUUGCAAAACCUAUGUACAAAACUAAAUUAUGUGUUUUAACAACUACGUGUAUGAAUAUUUAUUGCUAGAGAUGCUCUGUUUCUUGAGAGGAACUACAACGGUUUCAAAUGUUUUUGGAAGCUAUAUACAUACUAAUUUGUCUUGUUCCA
Molecule: long non-coding RNA, 611 nt
Organism: Salvia miltiorrhiza (redroot sage)
Lineage: Eukaryota; Viridiplantae; Streptophyta; Magnoliopsida; Lamiales; Lamiaceae
Exons: 3
Source: RefSeq, a predicted model, not a curated record